GUCAAAUGAAGUAAGGCGGACGGCGGAGACCUAGGCACUCAGAGACGAUGAAGGGCGCAUAAACCGGCGAUACGCUUCGGGGAGCUGGAAACGAGCUUUGAUCCGAAGAUUCCCGAAUGGGGCAACCCCUAUGAACUCCUUUGUAAAUUCAUAAAAAAGGAAGAGGUAACCCGGUGAAUUGAAACAUCUUAGUAGCCGGAGGAAAAGAAAGCAAACGCGAUUUCCUUAGUAGCGGCGAGCGAAACGGAAACAGCCUAAACUGAUGCUUUUUAAGUGUCAGGGUAGUGGGAAGACAACAAAAAAAGAGCUCACUUGUAACUAAGUGAAAAGAAAAAAACGAAGCAGCUGAAUCCUGCACCAUAGAUGGUGAAAGUCCAGUAGUUAAAUUCUAAAAAACACUGUCUUAUCCCGAGUAGCAUGGGGCACGUGAAAUCCCGUGUGAAUCUGCGAGGACCACCUCGUAAGGCUAAAUAUUACUGAGUGACCGAUAGCGAAAUAGUACCGCGAGGGAAAGGAGAAAAGAUCCCCUGUAGGGGAGUGAAAUAGAACGCGAAACCGUCCGCUGACAAGCAGUGGGAGGAGUUUUGGCUCUGACCGCGUGCCUGUUGAAGAAUGAGCCUGCGACUUAUAGGAAGUGGCUUGGUUAAGGAAUUCCAUCCGGAGCCGGAGCGAAAGCAAGUCUGAAUAGGGCAUAAAUGGUCACUUCUUAUGGACCCGAACCCGGGUGAUCUAACCGUGGUCAGAUUGAAGCUUUGGUGAAACGAAGUGGAGGAUCGAACUGACCGAUGUUGAAAAAUCGGCAGAUGAGCUGCGGUUAGCGGAGAAAUUCCAAUCGAACUCGGAGCUAGCUGGAUCUCCCCGAAAUUUGUUGAGGCGAAGCGGUGACGAAGGGCUGCCUUGGGGUAAAGCAACUGUUUCGGUGCGGGCUGCGAAAGCGGUACCAAGUCGUGACAAACUCAGAAUACAAGGUAAGGCUUGCCGUCAACCAGUGAGGCCGUGGGAGAUAAGUUUCACGGCCAAGAGGGAAACAGCCCAGAUCAUCAGCUAAGGCCCCUAAAUGGACGCUAAGUGGGAAAGGAUGUGGGAAUGCGAAAACAACCAGGAAGUUCGCUUAGAAGCAGCUAACUUUAAAAGAGUGCGUAACAGCUCACUGGUAACAGCGUUCUUGCGCCGAGAAUGGCCGGGACUAAGCGUCCUGCCGAAGCUAUGGGAUCGAGCAAUUGCUCGUAUCGGUAGGGGAGCGUUUUGCUACGGGUGAAGCUUUUACGUUAGUAAGGGUGGACGUGGCAAAAGUGAGAAUGUAGGCUUGAGUAACGAAAACAUUGGUGAGAAUCCAAUGCCCUGAAAACCUAAGGAUUCCUUCACUAGGCUCGUCCAUGAAGGGUUAGUCAGGUCCUAAGAUCAGGCCGAAAGGCGUUGUCGAUGGAAAUCAGGUUAAUAUUCCUGAACUAAUUUAAACAGUAUAAGUCCCGAGGGACGAAGGAGGCUAAAUUGAGUCUGUUUAUGGAUUGCAGAGGAAGCUUUUAAGCGUUGAGAGAUUGAAGAAAAACAAUUCUUGAGCUGAAGAGUGAUCCCGUUUGAACAAAUCUUCGGAUUUGUUUGGACGUCAAUGACGCCACACUUCCAAGAAAAGCUCGUUCGACUUUUGUUUAAAUUACCUGUACCUUAAACCGACACAGGUAGGUGGGUAGAGAAUACCUAAGGGCGCGAGAGAACUCUCUUUAAGGAACUCGGCAAACUGGCCCCGUAACUUCGGAAGAAGGGGUGCCCUCUUUCUAGAGGGCCACAGUAUCCAGGCCCAAGCGACUGUUUACCAAAAACACAGGUCUCUGCAAAGUCGUAAGACGAUAUAUAGGGGCUGACGCCUGCCCAGUGCCGGAAGGUCAAGGAAGUUGGUUAUUCCUUUUGGAAGAAGCUGGCGACCGAAGCCCCGGUGAACGGCGGCCGUAACUAUGACGGUCCUAAGGUAGCGAAAUUCUUUGUCGAGUAAGUUUCGACCUGCACGAAAGGCGUAACGAUUUGGGCGCUGUCUCAAAGAGAGGCUCGGUGAAAUAGACUUGUCCGUGAAGAUGCGGACUACUUAUACUUGGACAGAAAGACCCUAUGAAGCUUGACUGUAGUUUGGAACAGGGUUCGGGCUUUUCUUGCGCAGCCUAGGUGGGAGGCAUUGAAGAUUUCUUUUCGGGGAAAUUGGAGCCAUCAUUGAGAGACCACUCUGGAAGAGCUAGAAUCCUAAUGGCGUUCCUUGAAUCAGGACGCUUGACAGUUUCAGAUGGGCAGUUUUCCUGGGGCGGGAUCCUCCUAAAAGGUAACGGAGGAGCGCAAUGGUUCCCUCAACCUGGACGGAAAUCAGGCUUUGAGUGCAAAGGCAUAAGGGAGCUUGACUGCAAGACCUACAAGUCGAGCAGGAGCGAAAGCUGGCCUUAGUGAUCCGACGGUUCCGUGUGGAAGGGCCGUCGCUCAACGGAUAAAAGUUACUCUAGGGAUAACAGGCUGAUCUUCCCCAAGAGUUCACAUCGACGGGAAGGUUUGGCACCUCGAUGUCGGCUCUUCUUAUCCUGGGGCGGUAGUACGUCCCAAGGGUUGGGCUGUUCGCCCAUUAAAAAGGAACGUGAGCUGGGUUCAGAACGUCGUGAGACAGUUCGGUCCAUAUCCAGUAUAAGCGCUGGAGUAUUGAGAGGAUCCCCCUAUAGUACGAGAGGACCUAUGGGGGACGCACCAAUGGUAUACCAGUUCUUGUUCCAACAGGAAACGCUGGGUAGCUACGUGCGGAGUGGAUAACUGCUGACAGCAUCUAAGUAGGAAGCCCACCUCAAGAUGAGUACUCCCUGAGGUCACGACUAGACUAGUCGUUUGAUAGGUAUCAGGUGUAAGGUCAGUGAUGAUUUUAGCUGAGAUAUACUAACGACCAAUAGAUAUUGAC
RNAcentral lists this ribosomal RNA (2923 nucleotides) under Schizomeris leibleinii. RNAcentral describes it as "bacterial LSU rRNA". It matches the Rfam family "Bacterial large subunit ribosomal RNA". The record is from RNAcentral. Lineage: Eukaryota; Viridiplantae; Chlorophyta; Chlorophyceae; Chaetophorales; Schizomeridaceae.